GUACACGGGCCAGAUUCCACGCCGGUUCCGGUUUCUAUCUGCUUUUUACAACGCCAUUAUCUUUUCACCAGGCCUUUGUAUCUGAUGAGCCCCAGGGCACACAACUUAGGGAUACUUGUGCCCAGUGAUGUGGCUUCUUAUUCUUGAUUUCCGAGUAAUAACUACCGCGUGACUUCUGGCUUGCUCAGGAAGACCAGGGAAAAAAUAGGCAACAUUUUUUUUUUUUAAAGAAACAUUAUUAGCCGAGGAGAAACCAAUUUCUGCACUAUGAGGCAAAUAAAGGAUAAGUAACCAAAUGCUGGGUGGGGGCGGGGGAGUAGCUUGCAUAAAUGGAAACAUAAGGAACAAAAUUGAGCAGCGACCAGUUCUGCCUGGCUGCACAGAAAUGCACUCCCACAGUACAGUCUCUGUUGGUCGAACAUAACCAGCAAGUUCCCAGCAAUUUAAAUCCCUUUCAAGGACUUCAGCAGAAUCCAUUGGAGGCCCAAGAGAGUCUGGGAACAGUGUUGGAGUUUUUACUAGAAUGACAGUUCUCACCAUCCUUGGGUAAAAACCCACCAUUCAGCUCAGAAGUAGCCUGUUUUUAUUUGGUUUACUGGUUCUCCGGGUAGGUAGGGGUUUUGCUUACAUAAGGGACACUGAUGCCAUGGUCUGGCAUAGUGAUCCAUUACUAUGGAUUUUUCCCUUAGUGCCAUUUCUUUAUUUCUACUGAUCAUUUAGCUAUGUGAUCUUCCUAAAUCAUGUUCACACAACUCUUACCAGAUGUCUAAUCAACAAAAAUAAAGUACCAGGUGGGUGGAGGCAGUUGUAGACCUCAGCUUGGAUCUUAGCAAAGAUAUUUUUUACUACACGAAGUCAUCAGAGUUUGAGACACUUUCCUGUGAACAUCAGAAAGAUACUUGAAUCUAAAGAGUUGAACUCUGGAAGGCCAUUGAUUUACUACCUACUCAAGAUACAAGAGGCAACUAUCUGUCCUUGGGAUUGGGCUGUAAAAAAUGAUGCAGCUAUGCUGUUACAAGUAUCAAAUGAGAAAAUAAUGAAGAUCAGUUCCGUAUUGCUGGAGUCUCCACGGAAGGUUGGAAACAAACUGAGCGACGGUCAAGUCUGUUUGUCUCGAAAGUCAGUGAUGGCCUUCCACAGCGUGCAGAGUAUUCCUCCCCUGGUUAGAGACACAAGGACAUGAUGAAGACGACACCCUAUUUGGAAGACUGCCCUUGAUACAGAAUAGUGAUUCUUAGCCUCUAGCUGUUCUGAUCAGAACAUGAAGAUCCAAAGUCUUACCAGUCA
Panthera uncia (snow leopard) is the source of this 1287-nucleotide long non-coding RNA. RefSeq lists it as uncharacterized. The transcript is spliced from 3 exons. The record is from RefSeq and is a predicted model, not a curated record. Lineage: Eukaryota; Metazoa; Chordata; Mammalia; Carnivora; Felidae.